RNAcentral lists this ribosomal RNA (253 nucleotides) under uncultured bacterium. RNAcentral describes it as "partial 16S ribosomal RNA". It matches the Rfam family "Bacterial small subunit ribosomal RNA", at positions 524 to 776 of the family's 1533-position model. The record is from RNAcentral.
GACGGGGGAUGCAAGCGUUAUCCGGAAUCACUGGGCGUAAAGCGUCCGUAGGUGGUGAUGCAAGUCACUGGUGCAAAACUCUGGCUCAACCGGAGGAAAGCCAGUGAAACUGCAUGACUAGAGUGUGGGAGAGGUAGAAGGAAUUCCCUGAGUAGCGGUGAAAUGCGUAGAUACAGGGAAGAGCACCGGAGGCGAAAGCGUUCUACUGGAACACAACUGACACUGAGAGACGAAAGCGAGUGGAGCUAAUGGG